Molecule: small nuclear RNA, 153 nt
Filed under: Mesocricetus auratus (golden hamster)
Lineage: Eukaryota; Metazoa; Chordata; Mammalia; Rodentia; Cricetidae
Description: U1 spliceosomal RNA (ENSMAUG00000007326.1)
Source: RNAcentral
AUAAAUAAAUAUAAAAUAAUAAUAAUGAUAAUGAUGAUAGUACUUGCAAGGGAGGCUUACCAUUGUACUACAGAUGUGCUGACACUUGUGAUUUCCCUAGAUAUGGAAAGCUCAAUUUGUUGUAGCAGGGGACUGAAUUCAAGGUCUCCCUUU